UUGGCGUGCAGGGCAGGCCACCUGCUGCCCGCGCGGACGUGACUGCGCAGUGGCCUGCCCGAACCCCUGCCGGCUUUGAGUAUGGGGCAGCGGGAAAGGCGUGUAUGCGUCUCCCAGCCGAGCUCCCACCGGUCCUGUGGCUGCACCACCACCGCUGCUACUGUGUGAACCUCCAGCCAGCCUCUUCUCUUCUAGUCUCUUCUCCUGGUGGCCUUUUUGAUAAAACUGACAGUAUAAAUACUUUGCAUAUUUUAGAGGGAGCUAAAAGCCCUCCUCCUGUACAUGCAGCGGACAUUUGUACAAAUAAGGGGUCACAGAAGCUCUGCUCUCACGCCACACAAGUAACUUCACGUCCUUGAUUUAGUCCAAAAAUUACGGUUUGGUAAGUCAGAUUUCAAUGAUGUCAGUUACUGUUAUAAAAUGACAUAAGUAUUAACUUACCUACUUAUCUUCUAUUUUUUUUUUUACAUCCUCACUUUUUUAUACUUAUAUAUACACUCACCGAAGAUCAGGACCUUCUUAACCUGUUUCUGAAAGUAAUAUGUGUAUCACAUAACGUGUUUCGUUUGUUAUAUAAGCUGUAAUGUAAUGUAUGCUUUUGUACUGCAUGUGAACUUGAAAUUUAAUAAAGUUCUUUAGAAAACCUCUAA
Long non-coding RNA from Electrophorus electricus (electric eel), 650 nucleotides. RefSeq lists it as uncharacterized. The record is from RefSeq and is a predicted model, not a curated record. Lineage: Eukaryota; Metazoa; Chordata; Actinopteri; Gymnotiformes; Gymnotidae.